RNAcentral lists this ribosomal RNA (597 nucleotides) under Triticum aestivum (bread wheat). RNAcentral's name for it is "partial small subunit ribosomal RNA". Lineage: Eukaryota; Viridiplantae; Streptophyta; Magnoliopsida; Poales; Poaceae. The record is from RNAcentral.
AUGGCUGUAGCUAUUCCUAACCUUUUUUCCCCCUCUUCUGGCCAUCAGUUCAAGUCUGUUUCUGGUGAUGAUGACAUUCCAAAGCGAGAUGAGAUUGGUGAAAGACGUCGAAAACACGAACUACGUGUUCUUGCUCGGGUAGGAACCAAUACGCGUGAAGAUAACAAGGACGGCGACGAUGAAGCAUCGGAGUCUGAAGAUGAAUUCUACAAAGAUGUCAAAAGGCAGAGGACCGAAAAGCGCUUGCGCAAAGAACAGAGCGCCCCUAUCAUCACUGAGCCGCUGGAGGAAGAAAGUGAAGGAGAUGGCAAGAGGAGGGGAAUCUCGCGCCAGAUCGAGAAGAACCGAGGGCUGACUCGCCCCAGAAACAAGAAGCUCAAGAACCCACGGACGAAAUACAGGGUCAAGAGUGAGAAGCAGCGUCUCAAGUGGAGAGGUCAAGGGCGUGGCGUGAAGAAGGCCUCUGGUCCAUACGGAGGAGAAAUGUCUGGCAUCAAUCCGAACGUCAGCCGUAGUGUUAGCCGGUACGGUGGUUGCUUCAGAUGGUUGAUUGUGUUUGAUGAGGAUUGGAAGCAGAGGCGAGGUGGGGCUCAGUGA